RNAcentral lists this ribosomal RNA (468 nucleotides) under uncultured bacterium. RNAcentral describes it as "partial 16S ribosomal RNA". It matches the Rfam family "Bacterial small subunit ribosomal RNA", at positions 28 to 507 of the family's 1533-position model. The record is from RNAcentral.
GACGAACGCUGGCGGCGUGCUUAACACAUGCAAGUCGAACGGUGAUGCUCCAGCUUGCUGGAGUGGAUCAGUGGCGAACGGGUGAGUAACACGUGAGCAACCUGCCCCAGACUCCGGCAUAAGCGCUGGAAACGGCGUCUAAUACUGGAUACGAAACUGGCCCGCAUGGGCCUGGCUUGGAACGUUUUUCGGUUUGGGAUGGGCUCGCGGCGUAUCAGCUUGUUGGUGAGGUAAUGGCUCAUCAAGGCGACGACGGGUAGCCGGCCUGAGAGGGGUACCGGCCACACUGGGACUGAGACACGGCACAGACUCCUACGGGAGGGAGCAGUGGGGAAUAGUGCACAAUGGGCGAGAGCCUGAUGCAGCGACGCCGCGUGAGGGAUGACGGCCUUCGGGUUGUAAACCUCUUUCAGCAGGGAAGAAGCGAAAGUGACGGUACCUGCAGAAGAAGCACCGGCUAACUACGUG